Molecule: non-coding RNA, 98 nt
Organism: Musa acuminata subsp. malaccensis (wild Malaysian banana)
Lineage: Eukaryota; Viridiplantae; Streptophyta; Magnoliopsida; Zingiberales; Musaceae
Source: Rfam
AUGUUUGCGAGUGCAGCAUCAUCAAGAUUCACAUAGUUUCAGCAUCUUUGGCCUCUGAUAUCAUAUGAGAAUCUUGAUGAUGCUGCACCAGCAAUUGG